GAUGAACGCUGGCGGCGUGCCUAAUACAUGCAAGUCGAGCGAACAGACGAGGAGCUUGCUCCUCUGACGUUAGCGGCGGAAGGGUGAGUAACACGUGGAUAACCUACCUAUAAGACUGGGAUAACUUCGGGAAACCGGAGCUAAUACCGGAUAAUAUAUUGAACCGCAUGGUUCAAUAGUGAAAGACGGCUUUGCUGUCACUUAUAGAUGGAUCCGCGCCGCAUUAGCUAGUUGGUAAGGUAACGGCUUACCAAGGCAACGAUGCGUAGCCGACCUGAGAGGGUGAUCGGCCACACUGGAACUGAGACACUGUCCAGACUCCUACGGGAGGCAGCAGUAGCGAAUCUUCCGCAAUGGGCGAAAGCUUGACGGAGCAACGCCGCGUGAGUGAUGAAGGUCUUCGGAUCGUAAAACUCUGUUAUUAGGGAAGAACAAAUGUGUAAGUAACUAUGCACGUCUGGACGGUACCUAAGCAGAAAACCACGGCUAACUACGU
Molecule: ribosomal RNA, 496 nt
Filed under: uncultured bacterium
Lineage: Bacteria
Description: partial 16S ribosomal RNA
Rfam family: Bacterial small subunit ribosomal RNA
Source: RNAcentral